Molecule: ribosomal RNA, 491 nt
Filed under: uncultured bacterium
Lineage: Bacteria
Description: partial 16S ribosomal RNA
Rfam family: Bacterial small subunit ribosomal RNA
Source: RNAcentral
GUGCACGCUGGCGGUAGGCCUAACACAUGCAAGUCGAACGGCAGCACAGUAAGAGCUUGCUCUUACGGGUGGCGAGUGGCGGACGGGUGAGGAAUACAUCGGAAUCUACUUUUUCGUGGGGGAUAACGUAGGGAAACUUACGCUAAUACCGCAUACGACCUACGGGUGAAAGCAGGGGAUCUUCGGACCUUGCGCGAUUGAAUGAGCCGAUGUCGGAUUAGCUAGUUGGCGGGGUAAAGGCCCACCAAGGCGACGAUCCGUAGCUGGUCUGAGAGGAUGAUCAGCCACACUGGAACUGAGACACGGUCCAGACUCCUACGGGAGGCAGCAGUGGGGAAUAUUGGACAAAGGGCGCAAGCCUGAUCCAGCCAUACCACGUGGGUGAACAAGGCCUUCGGGUUGUAAAGCCCUUUUGUUGGGAAAGAAAAGCAGCAGGUUAAUACCCCGCUGUUCUGACGGUACCCAAAGAAUAAGCACCGGCUAACUUCGUG